Molecule: transfer RNA, 74 nt
Filed under: Fontimonas thermophila
Lineage: Bacteria; Pseudomonadati; Pseudomonadota; Gammaproteobacteria; Nevskiales; Nevskiaceae
Description: tRNA_Gly_CCC
Rfam family: tRNA
About the family: Transfer RNA (tRNA) molecules are approximately 80 nucleotides in length. Their secondary structure includes four short double-helical elements and three loops (D, anti-codon, and T loops). Further hydrogen bonds mediate the characteristic L-shaped molecular structure. tRNAs have two regions of fundamental functional importance: the anti-codon, which is responsible for specific mRNA codon recognition, and the 3' end, to which the tRNAs corresponding amino acid is attached (by aminoacyl-tRNA synthetases). tRNAs cope with the degeneracy of the genetic code in two manners: having more than one tRNA (with a specific anti-codon) for a particular amino acid; and 'wobble' base-pairing, i.e. permitting non-standard base-pairing at the 3rd anti-codon position.
Source: RNAcentral
GCGGGCGUAGUUUAAUGGUAGAACCGAAGCUUCCCAAGCUUCUAGCGUGGGUUCGAUUCCCAUCGCCCGCUCCA